This 254-nucleotide ribosomal RNA is filed under the name uncultured bacterium. Its description in RNAcentral is "partial 16S ribosomal RNA". It matches the Rfam family "Bacterial small subunit ribosomal RNA", at positions 524 to 776 of the family's 1533-position model. The record is from RNAcentral.
UACGUGGGGGGCGAGCGUUGUCCGAAGUUACUGGGCGUAAAGCGCGUGUAGGCGGCUUUUUAAGUUUGGGGUGAAAGGUUCACGGCUCAACCGGAACAGUGCCUUGAAAACUGGGAAGCUUGAGUGUGGCAGGGGAAAGCAGAAUUCCAGGUGUAGCGGUGAAAUGCGUAGAUAUGUGGAGGAACACCGAUGGCGAAGGCAGCUUUCUGGGCUAACAUUGACGCUCAGACGCGAAAGCGUGGGGAGCAAACAGG